ACCUUACCUGGUCUUGACAUCCACAGAACUUAGCAGAGAUGCUUUGGUGCCUUCGGGAACUGUGAGACAGGUGCUGCAUGGCUGUCGUCAGCUCGUGUUGUGAAAUGUUGGGUUAAGUCCCGCAACGAGCGCAACCCUUAUCCUUUGUUGCCAGCGGUCCGGCCGGGAACUCAAAGGAGACUGCCAGUGAUAAACUGGAGGAAGGUGGGGAUGACGUCAAGUCAUCAUGGCCCUUACGACCAGGGCUACACACGUGCUACAAUGGCGCAUACAAAGAGAAGCGCCCUCGCGAGAGCAAGCGGACCUCAUAA
This 311-nucleotide ribosomal RNA is filed under the name Enterobacter sp. CAR6. RNAcentral describes it as "bacterial SSU rRNA". It matches the Rfam family "Bacterial small subunit ribosomal RNA", at positions 968 to 1279 of the family's 1533-position model. The record is from RNAcentral. Lineage: Bacteria; Pseudomonadati; Pseudomonadota; Gammaproteobacteria; Enterobacterales; Enterobacteriaceae.